Molecule: ribosomal RNA, 389 nt
Filed under: uncultured bacterium
Lineage: Bacteria
Description: bacterial SSU rRNA
Rfam family: Bacterial small subunit ribosomal RNA
Source: RNAcentral
AGUGAACGCUGGCGGCAGGCCUAACACAUGCAAGUCGAGCGGCAGCGCGUCCGGACCACCCUCGGGUGGUCGGAUGGCGGCGAGCGGCGGACGGGUGAGGAAUGCAUCGGAAUCUGCCUCGUUGUGGGGGAUAACGUAGGGAAACUUACGCUAAUACCGCAUACGACCUACGGGGGGAAAUGGGGGACCGCAAGGCCUCACGCGAAUGGAGCGGCCGAUGUCAGAUUAGCUAGUUGGUGGGGUAAAGGCCACCAAGGCGACGAUCUGUAGCGGGUCUGAGAGGAUGAUCCGCCACACUGGGACUGAGACACGGCCCAGGACUCCUACGGGAGGCAGGCAGUGGGGAAUUUUGGGACAAUGGGCGCAAGCCUGAUCCAGCCAUCCCGCGU